RNAcentral lists this ribosomal RNA (481 nucleotides) under uncultured bacterium. RNAcentral's name for it is "partial 16S ribosomal RNA". It matches the Rfam family "Bacterial small subunit ribosomal RNA", at positions 28 to 523 of the family's 1533-position model. The record is from RNAcentral.
GACGAACGCUGGCGGCGUGCUUAACACAUGCAAGUCGAACGCUGAAGCCCUUCGGGGUGGAUGAGUGGCGAACGGGUGAGUAACACGUGGGUAAUCUGCCCUGCACUCUGGGAUAAGCCUUGGAAACGGGGUCUAAUACCGGAUAGGACACGUGGCCGCAUGGUCUGCGUGUGGAAAGUUCCGGCGGUGCAGGUUGAGCCCGCGGCCUAUCAGCUUGUUGGUGGGGUGAUGGCCUACCAAGGCGACGACGGGUAGCCGGCCUGAGAGGGUGACCGGCCACACUGGGACUGAGACACGGCCCAGACUCCUACGGGAGGCAGCAGUGGGGAAUCUUGCGCAAUGGGCGAAAGCCUGACGCAGCAACGCCGCGUGGGGGAUGACGGCCUUCGGGUUGUAAACCUCUUUCGACAUCGACGAAGCCUUCGGGUGACGGUAGGUGUAGAAGAAGCACCGGCUAACUACGUGCCAGCCGCCGCCGUAA